Molecule: unclassified non-coding RNA, 162 nt
Filed under: Hodophilus micaceus
Lineage: Eukaryota; Fungi; Basidiomycota; Agaricomycetes; Agaricales; Clavariaceae
Description: internal transcribe spacer 1
Source: RNAcentral
ACGAUUCUCAAAGGAUGUGCUGGCAAUUUAUACUUGCAUGUGCACUCUGACUUUCAUUCACCUGUGCACAUUUUGUAGACAGGGAUAGCAAUUCUAUCCAUUGUCUAUGAUUUUUAUACACUCUGUUGAAAUAAAAUGGGAUGUAAUAUUAUAAAAUUAAUA